Molecule: long non-coding RNA, 509 nt
Organism: Bos taurus (domestic cattle)
Lineage: Eukaryota; Metazoa; Chordata; Mammalia; Artiodactyla; Bovidae
Source: Ensembl
ACUCCAAGGUUAAGGCUCAGCUGUGUGGGCUUCUCCUCCAGGCUCACAGGUCCUGAUGACCCUGACCUCAUCGCGUAUCCCCCAGCAACAGAGGCAAAGGGGGACACAGUGGACUAUGCCCUCAAAACUGGAUGUAUGUCCUGGCCUAGAGGAGGUAGUAAUGGUUCCAAGAGGAGAGCAUGCUCAACUCAUGAACAUUCUUCUGAUUGGUUGGUGAUGAGGGUGUUCUUGCCUGGAGAAUCCCUGGGACAGGGAAGCCUGGUGGGCUGCUGUCUAUGGGGUCACACAGAGUCAGACACGACUGAAGUGACUUAGCAGCAGCAGCAGCAAAGGUUCCAAUAUGGCUCUAUUUGUUGUUCAGUCGCUCAGUCGUGUCUGACUCUUUGCCACCCCAUGGACUGCAACACACCAGGUUGCCCUGUUCUUCACCACCUCCUGGAGUUUUGGACUUGCCAGUCUCCAUAAUCUCAAGAGCCAAUUCCUUAUAAUAAAUCUCUUUCUACAUGUAU